UACGGAGGGUGCGAGCGUUGUCCGGAAUCACUGGGCGUAAAGGGUGCGUAGGCGGGUCUUUAAGUCAGGGGUGAAAUCCUGGAGCUCAACUCCAGAACUGCCUUUGAUACUGAAGAUCUUGAGUUCGGGAGAGGUGAGUGGAACUGCGAGUGUAGAGGUGAAAUUCGUAGAUAUUCGCAAGAACACCAGUGGCGAAGGCGGCUCGCUGGCCCGAUACUGACGCUGAUGCACGAAAGCGUGGGGAGCAAACAGG
RNAcentral lists this ribosomal RNA (253 nucleotides) under uncultured bacterium. RNAcentral's name for it is "partial 16S ribosomal RNA". It matches the Rfam family "Bacterial small subunit ribosomal RNA", at positions 524 to 776 of the family's 1533-position model. The record is from RNAcentral.